Potamilus streckersoni is the source of this 67-nucleotide non-coding RNA. Lineage: Eukaryota; Metazoa; Mollusca; Bivalvia; Unionida; Unionidae. The record is from the annotation of a GenBank genome assembly.
GUGGCCUAGUGGUUAGAGCAUCUGCCAAGGAUGCGGGAGGUUGUGGGUGCGAUCCCCAGCAGAGUCA